Molecule: long non-coding RNA, 728 nt
Organism: Pan troglodytes (chimpanzee)
Lineage: Eukaryota; Metazoa; Chordata; Mammalia; Primates; Hominidae
Exons: 3
Source: RefSeq, a predicted model, not a curated record
CUUCUUCCUAGAACCUGUGAAUAUGUUAACUUAUAUGGCAAUAGGCAUUCUGCAGAUGUGAUUAACAACCUUAAGAUGGAGAAGUUAUCCUGGGUUAUCCAAGCAGGCCCAAUGUAAUCACAAGGGUCCUGGUAGGAGGUCAGAAGAGCCAGUGAUGUGACAACAGACACAGGUCAGAGUUAUGUGGCCAUGAGCCAAGGAGUGUCGGCUGCCUCUAGAAGCUAGAAAAGGCAAGGAACAGACUCUCUCUUGAAGCUUCCAGAAGAAACUGGCUGUGCAAAUACUCCAUAGGACUCAUUUUGGCCUUCUUAUCUCCAGAGCUGGACCAAGGACAGAACCCAGAGGGCUAACAAAGAAGCACCAUGGAGUUGGUACACAGACCUCUGAGAGCGGAUCCUAAAUGGCUAUCGCUGCUACCUGGCAUCUCACCAGAGAACUGGUCCUGGAAGCUGUCAAGGAAGGUUGAAGCUUUUAACUGCUACUGACCAAUACAGGAAAAACAGAAAUGUAAAGAAGUCAGCUAUCAGACUCCGGAAACCCAAACAAUUUUCUGAUGAAGGAGAGGCGUGGUAUGACAAUUGGCCCUGAGCUCCGCACAAGCAAUCACCAAGAUUCACUGAUUCUGCAGCUGUAGAAUCAACUCCCAGACUAAGUUAUCUAAGAAUUAAACCUCAAAUCUUCCACACUAAAAUCACCUUUAAAAACAUAAGCUCUUUAAAAAAAAUAAU